AUUGAACGCUGGCGGAAUGCUUUACACAUGCAAGUCGAACGGCAGCACGGACUUCGGUCUGGUGGCGAGUGGCGAACGGGUGAGUAAUGUAUCGGAACGUGCCCAGUCGUGGGGGAUAACGUAGUGAAAAUUACGCUAAUACCGCAUACGAUCUAUGGAUGAAAGCGGGGGAUCGCAAGACCUCGCGCGAUUGGAGCGGCCGAUAUCAGAUUAGGUAGUUGGUGGGGUAAAGGCUCACCAAGCCAACGAUCUGUAGCUGGUCUGAGAGGACGACCAGCCACACUGGAACUGAGACACGGUCCAGACUCCUACGGGAGGCAGCAGUGGGGAAUUUUGGACAAUGGGCGAAAGCCUGAUCCAGCCAUUCCGCGUGCAGGAUGAAGGCCCUCGGGUUGUAAACUGCUUUUGUACAGAACGAAAAGGUUUCUACUAAUACUAGGGGCUCAUGACGGUACUGUAAGAAUAAGCACCGGCUAACUACGUGCCAGCAGCCGCCGUAA
This 500-nucleotide ribosomal RNA is filed under the name uncultured bacterium. Its description in RNAcentral is "partial 16S ribosomal RNA". It matches the Rfam family "Bacterial small subunit ribosomal RNA", at positions 30 to 523 of the family's 1533-position model. The record is from RNAcentral.